AACAUUCUAAGGAAGAACUUGGAUUGGAUAAUGUAUCUACUUCUGCGACCUGAGGUCCAGGGAAGUUCCCAUGCUUGGCGGUACCACUGAACCAUAUGGGAAGGCAAACCAAUUAAUUUCCAUUGCCAGUUUGAGUUUCUUUAUAUAAAAAAUAGUUACAGCUCUUGUUACGUGAUAGAGGUGAGGAAACUGAGGCGCAGAGUAUCUAAGGAAUUCACAGAGAAGAACUGAACAGAACAGGCAGAUGUUCAUACAGCACAGCCUGCUCAGCAUUCACAGUCUGAGAACAUUCCACUCUGCGAUUCUCUAAAUCCUUUUCCCAUCUCUCUCUUUUUCUUCGUGGAUUUUUAUCCUUUUACUGUGUACUUUCCCAUAUAACGUCCAGCACGGCAAUCUUUUUGCCUGUUUCUUUGUCCUUCUCCCCCAAUUGGCAGAGGAAUAAUCUCUAUCUGGCUGAGACGUCAAGCGCUGAAAAAUAUUGGCAUUCCUUAAAGAAGCAAUUUGUUUUCUUUUCUCAAAUGUAUCACGUGCGGUUAAGUGGCACUGACUUGUGCCCCAGCUGACCAAAUUUCACAGAGAUGGCCUGUCUGAGGCUAGAGGAUCUUUUGAGGAAUGGGUAUCUUCUCUAUGGAAAUAUCCCAAUUACCAUUUCUUGCGGGAAACACAGCAUCACCCCAGAGAUCUGUGGCCAUCAGGAAAAGUAACCAAGCUGAAGGGACAUCCAUCUCCAUUUCCAGUGGGGACACCACCAUCUUCUCUAACUUGUUCAUCUUGAGUGAUAGAAAACUUUAACUAAAUAAAUGAAAAAGGAUGGCAGAAAAUAAUCCACAGUGACUUAUGUAUCUUUCUCCAUCCAUAAAUAACUUUAUAUUUCACUUCUGGCAGCAGAGCUGAGCCAGAAGGUAAUGAGCCAUUGUGGAAAACCCAUCUGUUGCUCAUAAGGGGAAAGACCGGAUUUAUUGAGGAAGAAUCUGGAGCGUAAGUCCUGUUAUUGUUAAUGGGAAUUGCACAUCUAAUUGGUCAUGCUGAAAAUAUGCCCUAUUAUAUUCUUUCACUGGCCAGAUGGAUGUGCUCAGCUGCAAUGCUGAGAAGAAAAAUGUACCUAAAGAAUUUGAGAGUGGGAGUGGACACCAC
RNAcentral lists this long non-coding RNA (1134 nucleotides) under Equus caballus (horse). RNAcentral's name for it is "lncRNA (ENSECAG00000031714.3)". The record is from RNAcentral. Lineage: Eukaryota; Metazoa; Chordata; Mammalia; Perissodactyla; Equidae.